Molecule: ribosomal RNA, 158 nt
Filed under: Cokeromyces recurvatus
Lineage: Eukaryota; Fungi; Mucoromycota; Mucoromycetes; Mucorales; Mucoraceae
Description: 5.8S ribosomal RNA
Rfam family: 5.8S ribosomal RNA
About the family: 5.8S ribosomal RNA (5.8S rRNA) is a component of the large subunit of the eukaryotic ribosome. It is transcribed by RNA polymerase I as part of the 45S precursor that also contains 18S and 28S rRNA.
Source: RNAcentral
CAACUUUUAACAACGGAUCUCUUGGUUCUCGCAUCGAUGAAGAACGUAGCAAAGUGCGAUAACUAGUGUGAAUUGCAUAUUUAGUGAAUCAUCGAGUCUUUGAACGCAACUUGCAGCCGAUGGUAUUCCGUCGGUUAUGCCUGUUUCAGUAUCAAAAC